GAGUUAAGUUUACAAAGGGUUUUGUAAUAGAUCUGCAAAAUCUAUAAAUAUUAGGGUUCAAUUCCCUCUUAACUCU
RNAcentral lists this transfer RNA (76 nucleotides) under Russula lepida. RNAcentral describes it as "tRNA-Cys". It matches the Rfam family "tRNA". Rfam says of the family: Transfer RNA (tRNA) molecules are approximately 80 nucleotides in length. Their secondary structure includes four short double-helical elements and three loops (D, anti-codon, and T loops). The record is from RNAcentral. Lineage: Eukaryota; Fungi; Basidiomycota; Agaricomycetes; Russulales; Russulaceae.